UGAGGUAGUAGGUUGUUUAGUUGUGGGUUGCACCCUGACGUUUGGAUAACUAUACAAUCUACUGUCUUUC
This 70-nucleotide microRNA precursor is filed under the name Xenopus tropicalis (tropical clawed frog). RNAcentral's name for it is "Xtr-Let-7-P2a2_pre stem-loop". Lineage: Eukaryota; Metazoa; Chordata; Amphibia; Anura; Pipidae. The record is from RNAcentral.